Molecule: ribosomal RNA, 421 nt
Filed under: uncultured bacterium
Lineage: Bacteria
Description: bacterial SSU rRNA
Rfam family: Bacterial small subunit ribosomal RNA
Source: RNAcentral
AUUGAACGCUGGCGGCAUGCCUUACACAUGCAAGUCGAACGGCAGCACGGGAGCAAUCCUGGUGGCGAGUGGCGAACGGGUGAGUAAUAUAUCGGAACGUGCCCAGUCUGGGGGAUAACGUAGCGAAAGCUACGCUAAUACCGCAUACGAUCUAUGGAUGAAANCGGGGGAUCGCAAGACCUCGCGCGAUUGGAGCGGCCGAUAUCAGAUUAGGUAGUUGGUGAGGUAAAGGCUCACCAAGCCGACGAUCUGUAGCUGGUCUGAGAGGACGACCAGCCACACUGGGACUGAGACACGGCCCAGACUCCUACGGGAGGCAGCAGUGGGGAAUUUUGGACAAUGGGCGCAAGCCUGAUCCAGCAAUGCCGCGUGCGGGAUGACGGUCCUAUGGAUUGUAAACUGCUUUUAUACAGGAAGAAAC